This 491-nucleotide ribosomal RNA is filed under the name uncultured bacterium. RNAcentral describes it as "partial 16S ribosomal RNA". It matches the Rfam family "Bacterial small subunit ribosomal RNA", at positions 29 to 507 of the family's 1533-position model. The record is from RNAcentral.
GUGAACGCUGGCGGUAGGCCUAACACAUGCAAGUCGAACGGCAGCACAGUAAGAGCUUGCUCUUACGGGUGGCGAGUGGCGGACGGGUGAGGAAUACAUCGGAAUCUACUUUUUCGUGGGGGAUAACGUAGGGAAACUUACGCUAAUACCGCAUACGACCUACGGGUGAAAGCAGGGGAUCUUCGGACCUUGCACGAUUGAAUGAGCCGAUGUCGGAUUAGCUAGUUGGCGGGGUAAAGGCCCACCAAGGCGACGAUCCGUAGCUGGUCUGAGAGGAUGAUCAGCCACACUGGAACUGAGACACGGUCCAGACUCCUACGGGAGGCAGCAGUGGGGAAUAUUGGACAAUGGGCGCAAGCCUGAUCCAGCCAUACCGCGUGGGUGAAGAAGGCCUUCGGGUUGUAAAGCCCUUUUGUUGGGAAAGAAAAGCAGCAGGUUAAUACCCCGCUGUUCUGACGGUACCCAAAGAAUAAGCACCGGCUAACUUCGUG